This 801-nucleotide ribosomal RNA is filed under the name uncultured Rubrobacter sp. RNAcentral's name for it is "bacterial SSU rRNA". It matches the Rfam family "Bacterial small subunit ribosomal RNA", at positions 8 to 796 of the family's 1533-position model. The record is from RNAcentral. Lineage: Bacteria; Bacillati; Actinomycetota; Rubrobacteria; Rubrobacterales; Rubrobacteraceae.
AGAGUUUGAUCAUGGCUCAGGACGAACGCUGACGGUGUGCUUUAGGCAUGCAAGUCGAACGAGAAAGCCCUUCGGGGUGAGUAAAGUGGCGAACGGGUGAGUAACACGUGGGCAACCUGCCCCUCGCAGGGGGACAACCGGAGGAAACUCCGGCUAAUACCCCGUACGCUUGUGGAGUCGCAUGGCUCCGCAAGGAAAGGUAGCUUCGGCCAUCCGGCGAGGGAUGAGCCCGCGGUACAUUAGCUAGUUGGUGGGGUAAGGGCCUACCAAGGCGACGAUGUAUAGCUGGUCUGAGAGGAUGAUCAGCCACACUGGGACUGAGACACGGCCCAGACUCCUACGGGAGGCAGCAGUCGGGAAUCUUGCGCAAUGGGCGAAAGCCUGACGCAGCAACACCGUGUGAGCGACGAAGGCCUUCGGGUCGUAAAGCCCUGUUGAUAGGGACGAAGGGCGAAGGGUUAAUAGCCCGGAGCUUGACGGUACCUUUCGAGGAAGCCCCGGCUAACUACGUGCCAGCAGCCGCGGUAAUACGUAGGGGGCGAGCGUUGUCCGGAAUUAUUGGGCGUAAAGAGCGUGUAGGCGGUUCGGUAAGUCUGUCGUGAAAUCCUGGGGCUCAACCCCGGGCGUGCGAUGGAUACUGCCGGGCUAGAGGGUGGUAGAGGCGAGUGGAAUUCCCGGUGUAGCGGUGAAAUGCGCAGAUAUCGGGAGGAACACCAGUAGCGAAGGCGGCUCGCUGGGCCACACCUGACGCUGAGACGCGAAAGCUAGGGGAGCGAACAGGAUUAGAUACCCUGGUAGUCC